GUACAUUGUAUGGGAGUGUCUCAAUGUAAAACUCGUUUUUUAUUGGCUUGUUAAUCUUGUGUCCCUGUUCCCAACAAGGUCCACCUGGGUGUCACCCUUGUUGGGAAACCUGCAUAAAAGGCCAGUGUGCCUCCAUUAAAAUUCAGUUCCUGAUUUACCCUUGUGACGAGACCAAUCUCGCCACUGUGCAUUGGAGGAGCCUGGUGUCCCGCCUGCUGCCUUUAGACUAUAGCCCCAUGUUGAAACGC
Pelobates cultripes (western spadefoot toad) is the source of this 248-nucleotide non-coding RNA. The record is from the annotation of a GenBank genome assembly. NCBI's taxonomy places the organism in Eukaryota, Metazoa, Chordata, Amphibia, Anura, Pelobatidae.